Molecule: ribosomal RNA, 470 nt
Filed under: uncultured bacterium
Lineage: Bacteria
Description: partial 16S ribosomal RNA
Rfam family: Bacterial small subunit ribosomal RNA
Source: RNAcentral
GACGAACGAUGGCGGCGUGCUUAACACACGCAAGUCGACCGGUGAACGAGGGCGCUUUCUCCCUCCGGAUCAGUGGCGAACGGGUGAGUAACACGUUAGCACACUGCCCCGAACUCUGGGAUAAGCGUUGGAAACGACGUCUAAUACCGGAUACGCCGCGGGAGGGCAUCCUCUCCGCGCGGAAAGAACUUCGGUUCGGGAUGAGCUCGCGGCCUAUCAGCUUGUUGGUGAGGUAACGGCUCCCCAAGGCGACGACGUGUAGCCCGCCGGAGAGGGUGACCGUGGACGCAGGGAAUGGAACACGACCCAGACUCCUGCGGGAGGCAGAGGUGGAGAAUAUUGCGCAAGGGGGGCAAGCCUGAUGCAGCAGCGCCGCGUGAGGGAAGAUGGCCUUCGGGGUGUAAACCUCUUUUAGCAGGGAAGAAGCGAAAGUGACGGUACCUGCAGAAAAAGCACCGGCUAACUACGUG